Molecule: long non-coding RNA, 726 nt
Filed under: Sus scrofa (pig)
Lineage: Eukaryota; Metazoa; Chordata; Mammalia; Artiodactyla; Suidae
Description: lncRNA (ENSSSCG00070015541.1)
Source: RNAcentral
UGAGGCCGCCGGCGGGCUGCGUAGUGACGCAGGCGCGAGACUGUGCGGUGGCAGCCAUGGCGGACGGCUGCGAUGAGGCUGCUCCUGGGUCUCGCGGCUAUCCAAGACCAUCGAGGGUCCCCGGCGGCGCCUGCCGUCUGCUGAGGCUGGGUGGACUCCUCUGCGGCAGAUCUCCUGUAAGAUGUGCUGGUUAAGGCUUCUGGCAGAUUCGGGUCAGUCCCAAGUGCGACCGGUCUUCUGGGGCUGCCGUCCGCAGACCCUUCUCGCAUCCACGUACCUGGCGGCCUCCCUCAUCGCGUGCUGUUGGUAGGGGGGCGAGUCAGGCCCUGUACACGUCCUGACAGGCACCCGGCCCACCCCCAGCCAACUGUGCGCUGUGUUCCUGCCCCAGCACGAGACCUGUGGGGUGUCCGCGGCAGAAGAUGUCAGAGCUGGAAGAGACCUGAGAGGCGAUCCCUUGGUGAUGGAGUCCCAGAAAGCGUAACUGUCUGCCAGCUCACGAGGCCGUUUUGUGCAGAUAGUUUGAUUACCUCUGUGGUUGGGAUUCAACUUGUCGCCUUUUCCCCGGGAAUCUCCAGAUGAGCGGUGUGUCAGCCUGGAAAAGGUUUGCGCGCCUUGUCGUCUGCUUCCAGAACAAGGAUCUUCGCUGUACGCCAAGACCCAGACCCCUCUGACAUCGGAAUGACAAGUGGGAUAUUUAAUAAAACAGUUUCAAAUUUGGAGUCA